RNAcentral lists this non-coding RNA (23 nucleotides) under Mus musculus (house mouse). Lineage: Eukaryota; Metazoa; Chordata; Mammalia; Rodentia; Muridae. The record is from RNAcentral.
CAUUAUGCUCCUAGAAUUAUCAC